This 252-nucleotide ribosomal RNA is filed under the name uncultured bacterium. Its description in RNAcentral is "partial 16S ribosomal RNA". It matches the Rfam family "Bacterial small subunit ribosomal RNA", at positions 524 to 776 of the family's 1533-position model. The record is from RNAcentral.
UACGUAGGGGGCAAGCGUUAUCCGGAUUUACUGGGCGUAAAGCGAGCGCAGGUGGCUUAUUAAGUCUGGUGUAAAAGGCAGUGGCUCAACCAUUGUAUGCAUUGGAGACUGGUAGACUUGAGUGCAGGAGAGGAGAGUGGAAUUCCAUGUGUAGCGGUGAAAUGCGUAGAUAUAUGGAGGAACACCGGUGGCGAAAGCGGCUCUCUGGCCUGUAACUGACACUGAGGCUCGAAAGCGUGGGGAGCAAACAGG